AACGAACGCUGGCGGCAUGCCUAACACAUGCAAGUCGAACGAGACCUUCGGGUCUAGUGGCGCACGGGUGCGUAACGCGUGGGAACCUGCCCUUAGGUUCGGAAUAACUCCCCGAAAGGGGUGCUAAUACCGGAUAAUGUCUUCGGACCAAAGAUUUAUUGCCUUUGGAUGGGCCCGCGUUGGAUUAGCUAGUUGGUAAGGUAACAGCCUACCAAGGCAACGAUCCAUAGCUGGUCUGAGAGGGUGAUCAGCCACACUGGGACUGAGACACGGCCCAGACUCCGACGGGAGGGCGCAGUAGGGAAUAUUCAGCAAUGGGCGAAAGCAUGACGGAGGAAAGCAGCGUGAGUGAUGAAGGUUUUAGGAUCGUAAAACUCUGUGAUUAGGGAAGAACAUAUGUGUAAGUAACUGUGCACAUCUUGACGGUAACGAAUCAGAAAGCCACGGCUAACUACGUG
RNAcentral lists this ribosomal RNA (458 nucleotides) under uncultured bacterium. RNAcentral's name for it is "partial 16S ribosomal RNA". It matches the Rfam family "Bacterial small subunit ribosomal RNA", at positions 29 to 507 of the family's 1533-position model. The record is from RNAcentral.